AUUAGCUAGUUGGUGGGGUAACGGCCUACCAAGGCGACGAUCAGUAGCCGACCUGAGAGGGUGACCGGCCACAUUGGGACUGAGACACGGCCCAGACUCCUACGGGAGGCAGCAGUAGGGAAUUUUCGGCAAUGGGGGCAACCCUGACCGAGCAACGCCGCGUGAGUGAUGAAAGUCUUCGGAUUGUAAAGCUCUGUUGUAAGGGAAGAAUGGCUUGAGGAGAACUCAAGAGUGACGGUACCUUACCAGAAAGCCACGGCUAACUACGUGCCAGCAGCCGCGGUAAUACGUAGGUGGCGAGCGUUAUCCGGAAUUAUUGGGCGUAAAGGGUGCGUAGGCGGCCUUUUAAGUUUGUGGUGAAAGCGUGGGGCUCAACCCCAUACAGCCAUAGAUACUGGGAGGCUAGAGUACUGGAGAGGGUAGUGGAAUUCCAUGUGUAGCGGUAAAAUGCGUAGAUAUAUGGAGGAACACCGGUGGCGAAGGCGGCUACCUAGCCAGAGACUGACGCUGAGGCACGAAAGCGUGGGGAGCAAAUAGGAUUAGAUACCCUAGUAGUCCACGCCGUAAACGACGAAUACUAAGUGUUGGGGAAACUCAGUGCUGCAGUUAACGCAAUAAGUAUUCCGCCUGUGGAGUAUGCACGCAAGUGUGAAACAUAAAGGAAUUGACGGGGGCCCGCACAAGCGGUGGAGUAUGUGGUUUAAUUCGACGCAACGCGAAGAACCUUACCAGGCCUUGACAUCCCUUGCAAAGUACUAGAGAUAGUAUAGAGGUUAUCAAGGAGACAGGUGGUGCAUGGUUGUCGUCAGCUCGUGUCGUGAGAUGUUGGGUUAAGUCCCGCAACGAGCGCAACCCCUAUCUUUAGUAGCCAGCAUUUAAGGUGGGCACUCUAGAGAGACUGCCAGGGAUAACCUGGAGGAAGGUGGGGAUGACGUCAAAUCAUCAUGCCCCUUAUGAUUUGGGCUACACACGUGCUACAAUGGUGAUAACAAAGUGAAGCGAACCCGCGAGGGAGAGCGAACCACAAAAAAAUCAUCUCAGUUCGGAUUGUAGUCUGCAACUCGACUACAUGAAGCUGGAAUCGCUAGUAAUCGCGAAUCAGAAUGUCGCGGUGAAUACGUUCCCGGGUCUUGCACUCACCGCCCGUCA
RNAcentral lists this ribosomal RNA (1149 nucleotides) under uncultured bacterium. RNAcentral describes it as "bacterial SSU rRNA". It matches the Rfam family "Bacterial small subunit ribosomal RNA", at positions 240 to 1399 of the family's 1533-position model. The record is from RNAcentral.